CGAUCGAUCGAUCGAUCGAUCGAUCUAUCGAUCGAUCGAUCGAUCGAUCGAUCGAUCGAUCGAUCGAUC
This is a non-coding RNA of Paramuricea clavata, 69 nucleotides long. NCBI's taxonomy places the organism in Eukaryota, Metazoa, Cnidaria, Anthozoa, Malacalcyonacea, Plexauridae. The record is from the annotation of a GenBank genome assembly.